AACAGUAAAUGCAGCAGCAGCAGCAGCAGCAGCAGCAGUUAGCACUGAUGCAACUACUGAGGCUAUUGCCACCGCCUUCCCACUAACGCGGCUUACAGCCGGGAGGGGGGGGACUUGCAGUUUCCAGGGGCAACAAGCGUCUCUUACCACCCUCUCCUGCGCCUCAAAGGAGGCUGGUCCUGUGAGGCUGGAAAGGUACAGUCUUGACAAGGAACAAAAGACGUCUGUAUAUGAAGAAAUGUCAGAUGACCAUGUGUUAAGUGUCAGCCUUGAUGGAUUUACACAAGAAGGCCAAAGCAACUCAAGGAAGGGAGAGACCCCUGGAAUCCUCAGGACCUUUUGGUGGAGGUUUUUGAAUGUAGAAAGACUCUCUGGAAAAUUGAGCACUUUCCUGUAUCCACAGUCUCUGAAAUGAAGUUACCCCCAACUCUCCAACUUCUGCGCCCAGAGCCUCUGCUUUAGGCCCAAAAGGAAAAGAAAUUCGUAGGAGACAGUGAAUCUCAGACUCUUCCUUGGUUAUGAGCAAGAGCUCCCUGGCUCCAAGAGGGGAAGAAAUACCUGAUUUCUGAACACAGUCUAUAUCCUGAACAGUUUCCUAGAAAUGACGGAAUUGAUUAAUUUUUAUAAAGCACUUCAAGUGUCACACAGCAAGUUUUGAUGCAUCCAAGUGCCCAAAGAGGUAAGCAGUUUAAAGGAGUUUAAGAUUUUUACCUGUUUCUAACUUGGAGGCCCACCUAGUGAAACUGCAAAUUUUGGGUUCAGGGUAAAGAGUGGUUUUAAAGACUGAGCUUCUGGAGUCAGACCACGCAGUUUGGGAUCCCAGCUUCAUCACUUGUCAGUUGUGUGAUUUGGGAGCAAGUUACUUCACUUCUCUGCCUUCACUUGCUCAUCCAUAAAGUGGGGAUAACCGCUUCAUAGGAGGGUUUAGAGGAUUAAAUGAGAUAAUCUACAUGAAGCUCAACACAGGGCAUGGCACAUCCCGGACACUCCAGAAACACAUGGAUGGAUAAAGAACAUUUUUUUUCUGAUUAGUUCCAUGAUUUUUCCUUUUAAUUUUUGCAUCAGUACCAUGAGUUUACCUAAAGAUAAGAAACCAUUUUUGUUGUCAGCUCAUUGUGAAAAAUAGCAUUAAUUCCUAUUAAGGUGUUCACCAUCUUUUUUGCAGGCAUCAAAAUGAUGUAAUAUUUUAAAGUGAUCACACUUCUGGGUUUGAAUCCCCACUUGUUGGCUCCAAGACUUUGAAAAGUUGCUUAACCUCUUUGGACCUCAGUGGCCUUAGUUGUAAAAAUGGGAUUCUGUGUAGUUUCAGUUAAUAGAUACAAAGUGCUCACAUCAGUUCCAAGUACAUAAAAGUGCUCAAGGCUGCUAUUAACCAAGCAUUUUCCAGAAAAGAAAAUGGAGUUGAGAGGUGAUACCCCCAAAUGGUUUUCUUCAACUUGUAAGUAACGUACUGAACUUCCUGCCUCAUAAUAUUCAAGAUGAAAUUUUGAAAGAUGCCUACAUCAGGAAUUUUUUCAUAGCCAAACGUUAAAAGCAAAGUGAAGGUCUACACAGAGAUGGCAAACAUGGCCUACCCAACCUGACACCUAGGGCCAUGACAGACAUUAUUAAUCCAUUAUGGCACAUUUACCUACUGAGUC
Molecule: non-coding RNA, 1640 nt
Organism: Kogia breviceps (pygmy sperm whale)
Lineage: Eukaryota; Metazoa; Chordata; Mammalia; Artiodactyla; Physeteridae
Source: RefSeq, a predicted model, not a curated record